This 252-nucleotide unclassified non-coding RNA is filed under the name Hevea brasiliensis (rubber tree). The record is from RNAcentral. Lineage: Eukaryota; Viridiplantae; Streptophyta; Magnoliopsida; Malpighiales; Euphorbiaceae.
AGAGGAUGCAACUCAAUUCAAGCUGGCAGCAUCUUAAAGCUGAACCACAAUGAUUGUUGCAAUUUUCAGAGAAGAAACAGAACAAUGUACCUACUGGAUUGACCAACGCAACCAAAAACAUUACAAGGCCAAUUUGGUUACUAGUUCUCGACCCUUUUUCAAACACACAAGUAAUCAUAAGCAGAGAAUUUAAUGGAACUCUCUGAAACAGAAAUUAAUCCAAAAGAUCCCCAAGUUAGUACAAGUUAUCAA